RNAcentral lists this ribosomal RNA (254 nucleotides) under uncultured bacterium. Its description in RNAcentral is "partial 16S ribosomal RNA". It matches the Rfam family "Bacterial small subunit ribosomal RNA", at positions 524 to 776 of the family's 1533-position model. The record is from RNAcentral.
UACGGAGGAGGCAAGCGUUAUCCGGAAUUAUUGGGCGUAAAGCGUCCGCAGGUGGCUCGUCAAGUCUGCUGUCAAAGACCGGGGCUUAACCCUGGAAAGGCAGUGGAAACUGAUAUAGCUAGAGUGCCGUAGGGGUAGAGGGAAUUCCCGGUGUAGCGGUGAAAUGCGUAGAGUUCGGGAAGAACAUCGGUGGCGAAAGCGCUCUACUGGACGGCAACUGACACUCAGGGACGAAAGCUAGGGGAGCGAAUGGG